This 31-nucleotide ribosomal RNA is filed under the name Alternaria tenuissima. Its description in RNAcentral is "partial 28S ribosomal RNA". Lineage: Eukaryota; Fungi; Ascomycota; Dothideomycetes; Pleosporales; Pleosporaceae. The record is from RNAcentral. RNAcentral also lists the same sequence under 1 other name.
UCAGGUAGGGAUACCCGCUGAACUUAAGCAU